GACGUAGGGGGCGAGCGUUGUCCGGAUUUAUUGGGCGUAAAGCGUGCGUAGGCGGCUGCGCAAGUCGGUUGUGAAACCCCGGGGCUCAACCCCGGAACUGCAUCCGAUACUGCGUGGCUAGAGGUAGGUAGGGGAGAUCGGAAUUCCUGGUGUAGCGGUGAAAUGCGCAGAUAUCAGGAGGAACACCAAUGGCGAAGGCAGCACUCUGGGACGGUACUGACGCUGAGACGCGAAAGCGUGGGGAGCAAACAGG
RNAcentral lists this ribosomal RNA (253 nucleotides) under uncultured bacterium. Its description in RNAcentral is "partial 16S ribosomal RNA". It matches the Rfam family "Bacterial small subunit ribosomal RNA", at positions 524 to 776 of the family's 1533-position model. The record is from RNAcentral.